Molecule: non-coding RNA, 27 nt
Filed under: Bombyx mori (domestic silkworm)
Lineage: Eukaryota; Metazoa; Arthropoda; Insecta; Lepidoptera; Bombycidae
Source: RNAcentral
AACAAAGCUAUGUACAGAUGAUGCAUC